GUAUUAUAUAGCUGUCACACGAACGAUCAAAAAAUGGGUCGGAAAAUAAUAUAAAAAAUCGGAAAAUUAGUGGGAAAAUAAUAUUAAACAAAUUAUAGCUUUAGUGUCCUUUGACAUAUUAUCUUAUAAUAAUGGGAAUAUUAUUCUUUAUAUUCAAUAAAUUUGAAUUAAAUUUAAUAAAAUUUGGACUACUCUAACAUAUAGCUGUCAAAGAAACAGUCAGAGAAAUAAUGAAAUAUAUAUAUUUAUUUUUAUACCACUGAAGCUAGCAACAAUAAUGAGUCGGUGCUUUUGAAAACCGGGAAGGUUAAGCCCGCCCAAAAAGGUGCUCAGGCGAAAAGGCAGCAAUCCAUAGAGCUGCGAUAGUCAGCGGUAGGCCCCGAGCUCGGAUUUGGCUCCCAGCUGCAAUAAAGGCGCCGGAGGACAUCCUCUACAUGCUGCAGGAAUGCAACCCGCAACUCCCCACGAAAAGUCGUCAGGGUGGAGGAGACAGAAGAGGAUGUUAACCAGGCAAUCGUAGUCCUGAACAAGGAGUGGGUAGCUCUAAUCGAAGCUGCUCGAGAAGUGCUGAACUUCGCUUUCAGUGCCACUCCUGCCAACAUUUACAAAGUCGACUCCAAUGCAGCUAGCAGAUCUGCCCACCUAGUGGGCCGAAGGACGGCUACUCGACCGUUUCGUCGCUGAUCAUACUGAUGCGAGCGCUUGGACCGGCAAUCGAAGACGUGGACCUGAGCGAUACGGAAGAGGCCGAAGUCACCGUGGUGGAGAUUGCAACUGUAGUUAUCAUUAAGACUUCUGCAAAUCAACCUACACCACAGUAAAACAGCGUCGGCUGCACUACUGCUUCAACUGAGCGGGGGCGGAGCCAACCUGGUCCUAGUACAGGAACCUUGGGUAGUACUUUCUGACGAAUCUGUACGGGUAACAAGUAUAAAAAGCGGAUCUAUGCAAAACUCUUGAAUACAGUCACACAGCCUUCGAGGCCUAUGAUUCCAGAUAGAAAGAAAUGGGAAUGGCUCGUUUUUACACAUGCCGGCAUUCUAAAAGCAGCAAAAAAAAUACUUCUGUAGAAGUGGCAGGGAUGAAGAAGAAGAUUAAACGGUCGAACACCUUCUCUGCUUCUGCCCCGCCAUAUCCAGACUCACAUUAAAGCACUUAGGAAUUCCCUUCAUCAAAGAUGUUACCGAAAUAUCGGAGAUUAGCCUAAAAAACAAAAACGCGUUUGUAAAAUCUAAAAUUAACCUGAUUUUAGUAUGAAACAUAAAAGAUAGGGGACCCAAAAGAUCAUACCAUAUCACAAUGGACAAACUGAGGUCUACGUGUGUCAGACCAUAAUCUGGCAACCUUUCUAACCUAUUCUAACCUAACACAAGACUGUUAAAUUUCGUUUUCGUUAUAAGUUUGCUAGCAAACGGAAAUCACUUUACCUAUAAAGCUCCCACGGGAACGACCGACAUCGUUGUUGACGAUCAGGACAUAAUAAGAACACACAUAUUUUUUGCUUGACGCCUCCGUGAAUCAAGGCGCCUGCCGAGAUUCAUCAAUGAUGUCGAGGAUGGCUAAUUUCGACGCUGGUUUUCGAAGUACUCCGGUUGCAAUUUUCACCAUUGCUGAUCGUACUUUUCGUCCUUUGCGAUAUGAAUUUCAAUGGCGCUCGGUCGAGCCGCAAAUUAGAACUACAUCUCUAAUUUGUAUAUGCUUACGAUUACGAUUAAACCAUUUAGUGCGUCUGGUUGGAGUCGGCAAGUACCUCAGAAUAUAACGUAUACAGAAGGUCUUCAUCAACUGCUGCCGGAUAUGCAAGUUAUAUGACACAUUAUUUAGGGGCUCUUACCCAAUUUAUAAACAACUUUGAGCCGAGAGCCAAUUUCCAAAUAACUCUGACAGACCCGAGAUAAACCCGUGGUCAGCUAUUUCAUUCAACCAGGCCUCCGAAUCAUUCCCACCCAGAUCAAUUUCACGCAGCCCAAAUCAAAUCGAGUAAAAGUAAACGAGCAGUGAAUUAACUAAGUUCGACCUAUUAAAAAAUUGUAGUAGUGAUUAAGUGAUUAAUAAAUAAAAAUAAAUUUUUUUACUUAAAUCACUAGU
Molecule: long non-coding RNA, 2088 nt
Organism: Drosophila biarmipes
Lineage: Eukaryota; Metazoa; Arthropoda; Insecta; Diptera; Drosophilidae
Exons: 3
Source: RefSeq, a predicted model, not a curated record